Molecule: ribosomal RNA, 380 nt
Filed under: uncultured eukaryote
Lineage: Eukaryota
Description: partial 18S ribosomal RNA
Rfam family: Eukaryotic small subunit ribosomal RNA
Source: RNAcentral
CAAUAGCGUAUAUUAAAGUUGUUGCGGUUAAAAAGCUCGUAGUUGGAGUUCUGCCAGGUGCCGCCUGUCCGCCCCAGUGGUGAGUACGUGGCGCGCAUUUGGCCCUUUCAAGGGGAGCGUAUCUGCACUUUAUUGUGUGGUGCGGGAUCCUUGACUUUUACUUUGAGGAAAUAGGAGUGUUCCAAGCAGGCUCUCGUCGUGCACAGCUCAGCAUGGAAUAAUAGCAUUGGACCUCGAUUCUAAGCUGUUGGUUGCCAGAAGCGAGGUAAUGAUGAAGAGGGAUAGUUGGGGGCAUUCGUAUUUAACUGUCAGAGGUGAAGUUCUUGGAUUUGUUAAAGACGGACUACUGCGAAAGCAUCUGCCAUGGAUGUUUUCAUUGA